AGAGGUUUGCUGGGUGUAGAGAAGUUUUCCUUGGUUUUCUUCGUCUUUUUCCAAUUGACGUAAUUUUCUCCUCCCUCAACCCCCAUCUAACUGCGCUUUCCCUCUGCCAUCACGGCAGGGAGAACAGAACGCCAGAAGCUGCGGCGCGGCUGCGCGUCGAGCCAGUCGUUGAUGUUUCCGCGGUCUCCGGUGCCCCCUCGUGGCCAAUAGGUGGAAUUGCGGCCGUGUUUGGCGCCGCAGGCACCAGGGCGCAUGCGCACAAGCACGCGUCGGUGGCGUUCCUCGCUCUGCGCAGCAAAUCCGCCGAGCUUUGUUAUGGUUAGUCCUCGAGGCAACAGAGCGCAUGCGCCAGGACACUCAUAACUAGCAUUCAAAUCUACAAAGCCUCGAGGUGCUGGCGAGCAGUCGAUUCCUGGAGCCUGCCUCGGGAACAGACUAUUCUGGCUCCCAGCGGCCCCUGCGCCCCUCACACGCGUAAUGAGGAGUCGAAAACAACGCACGCGUAGUAACUCCUGGUUCUGCUGGUACACCUCUCGUACCUGGAGCUGGCUCUCCAUCUGGCUGAGACUUCAUCUUUAACACUUCAAAACAACCCUAAGGAGAAAAGAUUUUGGUGAUACACAGCACAGAUAUAGAGCAGGAUAACAGAAGAUGUACACGCUGGGUGUUGAAUAUGAUUUGGAAACCAAACCGCAGUUACUUGACAGUCCAGGAAAUUUUUCACAGCUGAGCCAUUGUGUUAGAAAUAAGAUUGGCAGAUUCAUGUCCGUAUUCACCCACGCAGCAAAGUACUGGAAGAACUACAUUAUUUCAUCCCACUCUUCAUGCAUGUUCAAAAUAGUUGAUGGGUGAAGGAAUGCUGGCUGGUUUUACGCUAAGAAAAAAGCCUCCACAAGUUCACAUUCAGUACAAUACAGCUGUUAAGUGAGAAGAUGAAAAGUUCAUUGUACUCUGCAGAGCAGAAAGACAAUUUUCUUUGUACGACUGGCAGAACAGCCCCAUGGCAGGAUUCGUAGGGUGAGUUAAAACCUUGUUCUGGACUAACUUCUCACAUAGAGAAGACACGAAAGCUGCUUGCAGUUCCAAAAUGGGGGACGUAUGGCAGAAUAAUUAAUAUUGACCUUCAAAGGUAAAUACAGGACAAAGGAUGUUGUACCAAAGGCCAGGACAUGCCCCAGCAUAAGUGGAGGUGUUUGACUCAAGACAAAAACGCAGCCUGUAUCCUCCCACUGAAGGCAGACCCACCACUCCUCAUACCUUUUAAACAUCUGUACUACUCCCCUUGAGGCUGUGAAGUCCACAGGACCACUGGUAGGAGCAUCAACACUUCAGCGUGCUUCAGUGUCUACGAGGGUAUGUCAUGACACCAGGUGGUGGAGUGCUGAAAUUCUGGGAACCAGGGAACCCAAACCCAAACUGAAGAAGAGAAGCCUCCAGAAGGAACAUCAAGUACUGUUCCAACAGAACCAUAAGAAGACUGUCAACAAUCACCUUGCAACAAUCACCUGUCAAUCACAUCAUUGAUAGGUACUGUACCUGCAUCGCGAUGCACGUUGUACUUCAUGUUUCCAAAACAGCAGGAGUUGAGCCCUGACCUACUCACUCUUUGGUUCAGGCGGUGACCUGGCAACUCUGCUGCACUCCAUCCCUUCACAGCCUGAACCAAUGAUUGAACAUUAGUGGAGAGGUCAAGGCUCUCCCAGGGAGCUCAGGUGCAAGCAAUGAUUGGAAAAGGUGCUUUUAUUUAAGUGUUAGCAGCAGAGGGAGCAGUAUCUCUCUGAGUUUGCUCUUCUUUUGAGUUGUUACUAGUUUCUGGAAGGGGUGAGCUAAUUUUUCUUUGUUACCUGCUGCUAUGGUUCUUGUAGGUUAUGUAUGGUUACCUGUUAGGUAUGGUCAUAUGGCCUUGUAUGGUUACCUGCUAUGGCGCUUAUCUCCCGUUAGAAAGCACUGUCAUUACCUUCUUUUGCCAUGUGACUUUGUUGAAAAUAUUUUCUUCCGGUGACAGGCUUUUCUCAGUUCUGUUGCUUUAUUUUUCAGUGCUGCUCUGCAAAACUUGCUGUGACUCUGGGCUAGGCCUGGCCACUCAUCAAGGUAGAGCUGCUGCCAUGAUAGAUACAGCUGUAGGGGGUGCAAGUUGAGUUGGGAUACACGUAGCACGUGGGUUACAGGUUGUGUAUGCCUGAGUAUCUAAUUCACACUAAAAUGUCUUGGCUGUAUGCAUGUGGUGGCUGGAAUCCCUUUGCAUUGUAGAAGCAAAGUUCAGAGCCCGAAAGUAAGGGAACGCAAAAUGAUGAAAAAAAGAAGAAAUGAUCUAUGGAAAAUUAAUUGUGAUAGAUGUUCUUUGAUCCUGGAAAAUCAUAACAAUAGUUUUGGGGGGGGGGAAGGAAAAAAAAGCAGGUAACUGUCAAAAUGUUAGCUAAGUACACUAAACACUAAUACACUUGUAUAUACGUAUGCAUAUAUACAGGUAUGUUAUGUACCUUCUCAACAGUGUUCCACUACAGGUAUAUCAUCUGUUGUCACACCACCAGCAUCGGCCUCUGAUAUUGUGGACGAAUAUAAUCAAAUAGGAGAUGUUACUGUUGAAGCACACCUCAUACAUACACAUUGAAUCAGCUGUACAACUUUCUCUUCAAAGGCCUAAUUAGCUUAGGCAAUCGACACCAUCAGUAAGAACAUCUAUUGUAUAAUGCACCAAGAUUUACCUGACUUCCUAGUAAUCAAGGUGCUGAGACUGUACCUUGUCAACUUAAUCAGUGCAUAUUGAUUUUAAAUUGCUUUUGCCACAGUGCAUUUGGUGCGUUGAUUUUAUGGCCACCAGACACUCACCCAGCCUCUCUCUCACUCCCCCUCCACAGAAAGCCAGAGAGAGGGGGGAAAGCCCAUGGGAAUAUUACCUCAGAAGUAAAACAAAUUUCACUUAGGGAAGAUAAAUUUCAUUUAUUCCUCCCAUUCCCUGCUCAGCAGGUCUUCCUCACCCCUCUGUUUCUGACUCCUUCAUCUGUUGCAGAGUAGCUCCUCACACCUCUCCCCGAUCCAGCAUACGCUCUUCAGGAUCUGCAGGUUGAGCGUUGCUGGGGGCACGUAGCACCUUCUCCAUGACCUUCUUACAAGGUGUUCCCACUCUUUUGUGGGAUCUUUCUUCUGAGCUCCACUCCCUCUGAGCUGCCUGCUCAUUUGCUAAUGGGUCCUGUGGGGCAGUAGGAGUGAGUAGCAGUGGAAUGGAACUAGUUGUGUCUAGCACCCCAGUUUCAUACCGCACAUCAGCAUUAUGGCAGGCCUUUCCACAACUGGACACCUGCACUCAAUGCAAUACUCUUGUGAUCUGAAAGGUCAAAAGAAGGUUUCAGAAAGCUGAGUUGGGAUUGUGUAAACGUACAACACGUGUAUUGAUUCAAAUUACAUUGAUGUUUAUUAGGAGUACAAUGUUAGUUCAAUUGUUCAGGAGGUGUGGACUCUAUAAUAAUUGAUUCUUACAAAAUCAGAAUCAUUUUAAACAGCCUAAAUUUUCAAAGCACUCAUUGAACUGUACAUAAGCUUUAUUUGAGAAGCCCCUUAUGCAAAAAGCCACUUUUUCUAGUGGAUGAGCGCACACACUUUCUCUCAAAACAGUUUAAUAAAAGGUUUAUCUUAGUGAAAGUUAAAAGAUUUUCAAUGAAGUUGUUUUAGAGGAUAUUCUUCUUACCAGACAGUGGCAUGAAGAUGUUGAUUGGCUUUUUACUGUGUAGCUUACUGUGCAGAUGCUAGGUGGGAGCCUGCUCAGUAUCUUUCUUGGUAAUUUAUGUAAUGUAAUUUAUAUUUGCAUCAAAAGACAAUUUUUCAUUUUUUGUAUCAUCAGUAGCACUGGAACUUAGCUUUACCUUUUGGGCUUUUGAUGACCUAGAGUAUCAAGAUAUCUUUCCUUCAAGUAUUUCUGAUGUACAGUAAAAUCAAAUAUUUUCCUUUUAGCUGUUUUAAAAGAGUUUGGCAGCAUUGAAUGUUUUUUGGUACUCCAUCCAGUUCUUUGAUCUUCCUCCAACAUGACCUAAUUCUGUUUAGAAGUUGUUGUGUUUAAGUGGAAAGAAUGGACUUGUGGAUAAGACAAAGCAGUACUCCCCUAGCAUCUGAUUCACCAACUGCUCUUGCAUGCAUGCAGUUUCUCCAAAGGCGAUAAAGGAUUACAUAUUUUCUACGGAUAUUUUCUAAGAGAAUUCUUUUUUUGCCUUCCAAUAUAUAAAAUCUGAACAUCCAUGCUGCUUGUGAUUUCAUGCUCCUUCUGAAAAUUCUUGCUUUUUUCCAGACAAGAAAACGUAUAUUUGUGUGAUCCAUGUUUUACUAUUUUUAGAUAAAUGAGAUGUAGUUAAUAUAGCGAGGCUAGAAAUGAUGGAAGCCACACCGAGCUUGGUCACUACUUUAAAGGUAUCAUUUUAAAUCGUGUCUAUUGAAAGUGAAAAUGCCUAGUCAUUUUUGUAAGCUGGUUGAGCUUAUUUUGAUAGCAUACGUUUAAAGCGUUGAUCUGAAUGAUCUUUUGUAAAAUCUGGUGAUAUUCAGAAGGCAGACACCUUUGAAGUCUAUAGAAUAAUAUCACUUAGUUGUACCAGUUAUUAAUCCACGUUUGCUCAUGUUACUCAUCCUUUCAAGAUUUCAUUUGUGUUUUUAAUCCCUCUGUAGAGGAAGACAGCAUGUCAAGUGAUGCAGUUUUACACAGUAGAUUGAGGCCAUGAUCUUGGCUUUAUAAACAAAUACAGCAACAGUGGUAGUGAGAAUCCUUGAUUUUAUUUUCAUGCAGCUUGAGUGGUCUUUUCUUACUUUUCUUUACUUAUUAUUACUAUUUAUUUGUAUCAUUUUUAUUUAUUUAUUUGUUUAUUUAUGCAAGUUCUGAAAAUAAUCAACUGGUUUUCCUUGGCCAAAACAAAACACCAUGAGGUUUCCAUCAGGUGGCCAUGGCCUCUUAAUUGUUUGUUACUGCUAGUGGCUUCUGCUCUACUAAUCAGUUUGUAGAUGAACUGUUGAAGAAUAAUGAGGUUUCCUUAGUUGAGUGAAGUAUCAGAAUAUCAGUGAAAAGGUGUCUGUAGUAAAUAUUUUUCAUAUUUGCAUUAAAGAUCAUAAUACAAACAGAUUUCUGAGAUGGACAUAUACUGAAGUCACUUGGAAGCAGACACACAAACAGAACAACCAAGCUAAAACAACCAACUCAGCCCUCCCAA
This is a long non-coding RNA of Lagopus muta (rock ptarmigan), 5186 nucleotides long. RefSeq lists it as uncharacterized. The transcript is spliced from 5 exons. The record is from RefSeq and is a predicted model, not a curated record. Lineage: Eukaryota; Metazoa; Chordata; Aves; Galliformes; Phasianidae.